Molecule: long non-coding RNA, 7110 nt
Filed under: Nicotiana tabacum (common tobacco)
Lineage: Eukaryota; Viridiplantae; Streptophyta; Magnoliopsida; Solanales; Solanaceae
Description: long non-coding RNA (NTAB_LNC009073)
Source: RNAcentral
CCAUAUGUCAUACAAGAAGCUUACUCAAGCGGGGCUUACAAGCUGGUUGAUGCAGAUGGCAUGAGAAUCGUCCCUAUCAAUGGCAAGUUUAUGAAGAAGUAUUAUCCUUGAAGUCAUUAUGCUCCUCGACGUACGAGCCUAAACUGCAAGUCAUGUGUCACGACCCUAAAACAGACUCAGUCAUGAUGGCACUUAUCGUAAAACUAGGUCAGCUGACACAAACCCCCAAAACCAACCAAACAAUUAUAAUAAGUCAUUUAAAAGUCAUUAAUAAGCUAAAAUCUCAAAAUUUAAGGUAGAAUAGAACAGUGCGAAAACAAAACACGGCCCGACAUCAGGGUGUCACCAGUCAUGAGCAACUAAAACUCGUCUAUAAAUACGAAAAGACAACAAAGUCUGAAACAAAGCUAAUACAAAGCGGAAUAAAGAUAGGAAGGAGAAGCACUGGGCUACAAACGCCAAACAGCUACGUAGUCAACUCCGAAAGCCUGCUAGAAGACAAAUCAGCACUCGCUAGCGUGACCCGAGACUCUUGGAUCUGCACACAGGGUGCAGGGAGUAAUGUGACUAUGCCAACUCAGUAAGUAAUAAAAGUAAAUGCCGCUGAGCAGUAAGAAACAUGUAAACCACAACAUAAUGCUACAACAAAACAGUAUAAGUCCAUAACAAUGCAGUAAAAUAGUAAAACUCGUAAAAACAUCUCAGUUCAGUAAAACCUUUUACAACAUUUUUAAUAGUUUCAAACGAGUGAUGAAAACUGUGAGUAAUAUGAUAGAAACGUAAAACAUCCCCUCGGGCAAAACAAGUACAACAACCGCCCCUCGGGCAAAAUAUCAACAGAUCCACCCACUCGAGCUAUCUCACAAUCACUCGUAAUCAGCCCCUCGGGCAAUAUCAUGAAACAAUAACAGCCCCUAGGGCUAAUAUCACAUCUCACACUGGGUAUCCGUGCUCACUAGAGGUGUUCAGACUCUGGAGGGGCUCCUACAACCCAAACGCUAUCACAAGCCACCUCGUGGCAUAACAAAAUCAGGCCCCUAAUCUCUCAUAUAUCACGAUCAGCACACAUGCUGAGGUGCGCAACCCGAUCCCAUAAUAAUCCUCACAACACAAACCCUCGGCCUCACUCAGUCAGAAUCUCUCAAGCCCCUUGGGCAACAGUAAAACAUGAUGCUCAACCCAAAAUAUCAUUUAGAAAUAUCAGAAUGGAGUAAAUAUGACUGAGUUAUGAAAACAGUAGAAUACAGUAUGAUUGAGUAUAAUUAUAAAGUAAAACAGUAAGGAAUAACAGUAAAAAACCCUAAGGGUCCAAAACAGUUGGCACGAGGCCCAAAUAUGGCAUUCAACCCAAGACAUGAUAAUACUUUCCAAAACACAAUGAUAUCAAACAAUUUUCAAUCAAAUACGCGACUUAAUAGUCGUACGGAACGAACCAAGUCACAAUCCCCAAUGGUGCACGACCUCACGCUCGUCAUCUAGCGUGUGCGUCACCUCAAAGUAGUGAAACGAUGUAAAAUUCGGGGUUUAUACCCUCAUGGCAACAUUUAUAAUCAUUACUUAACUCAAUCUAGUCCAAAUUCUAGCCCGCAAUACCUUUGCCUCUCGACUCGGCCUCCGGAUGCUCCAAAUCUAACCAAAAAUAGAUUUAUACCAUCAAAAUAUACUAAGGGAACGAAACUCACUCGAAAAUAACCAAUUUAUAUAAAAACGAAAUUCGUCAAACCCGACCCUCGGGCCCACAUCUCGAAUUCCGAUAAAAUUCACAAAACUAGAAUUCUUACACUCUCACGAGUUCAUACAUAUCAAGAAUACCAAAAUCCGAUCACAAAUGACCCCUCAAAUCCCUAGAUAAAGGUCUUCAAUUUCCAAGCCCUAAACCCCCAAUUUUUGCUACUAAUUUCCAUAUAUUUCAAGCUUAAUAAGUCAAAAACCAUCAUAGAAACAAUUUUAGGGUCCAAAAACCUUACCUCCACGAAAUUCCCUUGAAAUCCCUCUUCAAAUAGCUCCCUCAAGCUCAAACCCGAAUGAAAAUGGUGGAGAACAACUCAAAAAUCGCGAAGGAGGGUUUAUAUACAUUUUGGCCCAGGGUUUUCACACCUGCGGUCCAUUUUCCACACCUGCGGAGCCGCUUCUGCAUUCAACCAAACCGCUCCUGCGGUUUUCACUUAAACCCCCUGGAACCGCACCUGGGCAUAUCCUUCCGCACCUGCGGUCUCGCAGGUGCGCUGAAACUUCCGCACAUGCGCCUUCAGACCAUCUCGCCCAAUUCCACAUCUGCGUCCACUGUUCCGCUUCUGCGGUAUCUGCAGGUGCAAUUAUGACAGUAAUUCAGCAACUUCAGCUGCAAAUUUCCAACUCCCAACUUCCCGUCAACCAUCCGAAAUUACCCCGAGGCCCCCGGGACCUCAACCAAAAGUACGAAUACCACUAUCAAAACUUAUACCAACCUUCGAAACAUCUAAAACAACAUCAAAUCAAUAAAAUAACAUCAAAUUUAAGCUUAAAGUUUCAAAAACUUCCAAAUUCCGCUUUUGAUCAAAAAGUCUAUCAAACCUCGUCCGAAUGACCUGAAAUUUUGCACACAUAUCACAUAUGACAUAACGGACCUACUGCAACUUUUUUUAUUCCAUUCCGACCCCUAUAUCAAAAUCUCCCCUAUCAACCGGAAAACGCCAAAAUUCCAAUUUUGCCAAUUCAAGCCUAAAUCUACUCCGGGCCUCCAAAACCCAUUCUGAUCAUGCUCCUAUGUCUCAAAUCACCUCCCAAAGCUAUCAGAACCAUUGGGAUUCACAUUCAAGCCCUUUUUUAUAUAAGUCAACAUCUGGUUGACUUUUCCAACUUAAGCUUACUCAAAAGAGACUAAGUGUCUCCUUCCUUUCCAAAACCUCUUCGAACCCGAACCAACCAACCCGAUAUCAUAUAUCACAGCUGAACAAGACAAUAAGAAGUAUAAAUAGGGGAAACAGAGCGGUAACUCCUGAAACGACCGGCCACGUCAUUACAUCAUGACGCUCCUCGUUGCACGAGCGUAAACUGCAUGUUCCUAUACUCCUGGCCCGCAAGAGUAUAAACUGUGUACGGCCCAAAAAAAAGAGUCCACUAUUUUGAAAAUCUCGAAAGAGGCGGCCUAGGAAAAAGUUAAGACAUAAAAAAAAUCUACCCAAUCUUAACUACGGUAUGACUUGAUCCUCUUCACGAGGUACGUAGGCAGCUUAGAGUUUCAUUCUGAGUUCAGUCGCAUAAGUUCAAAAGAUACAUAAUCCCCUAAUCAUUGUCCGAAUGAAGUACGAUGAAGUGUAAUUCAUUCAAUCAGCACUUGAAAAUCGAGUUGAGAUACCAUUUUUCUGUUAAACUUUGGAUCCCAUUUGAUUUAAAGGGGGCAGCCACUAUAGUAAAUUGGAGUCUUAAAUAAAAUGAUUAAUAUAUUUUAGGAGGCUGCCAAACAUUUGCAUUGAAGUCCGAGGAUUCGCUAUGCCUCCAUGUUCGUCAAACCUUCAAGUUUUUGGUGUACCUUCACGACAUUUCAAAUUCAGUGAGACUUGAACCCAAGAUAUUUGGAGAGAAUGAAUCUCUUGAAUUUGAAUUUCUAAAAAUUAAAAAGGUCUUAUAAUCUCGAGGCUUCCACACCAAGAUAUAGAAUUUUUGGUGAAGUCGCGCUAAUUUGGAACUGUCGGUAUAUCAGAAAUCGAAGUCAACUUCGAACUAUCUUCUGAAGCUAUCCUUAAGGCAUUAAAUUUUACAUGUUGGAUAUUUUUUAGAUUUUGAAGUUUAGUUUCCAAGAACUCAAGUGGUUCGUGAUUUCGAUGUCCCUACUUCAAGAUACAAAACUUUUGGUGAAGUCGCGCAAAUCUGAAAUCGUCAGUGUGUCAGAAUUUUACGUUGAAUUUGAAAUAUUAUCUGAAAUUAUUCUUAAUGUUUUAAAUUUUGCAUUCAGGAUAUGAUUUAAAUUUCGAAGUUUGGUUUCUGAAAAAUCAAACGGUUCGCAAUUUCGAUAUUCCUACACCAAGAUAUAAAUUUGUUUGGUGAGACUGCGCAAAUCUGGAAUUGAUAGAGUGGUGCAAUAUAAAGUUGAUUCAAAAUUUUAUAUGGGACGAUUAUGAAGUUUUUUGAUUGAGAAUUUUGGAUAUGUUAUAGAUUUUUAAGUGUAGUUUUCAAGAAAUCAAACGGUUUGCAAUUUCAAUAUUUCUACACCAAGAUAUGGUUUUUUGGGUGAGACUGCGCAAAUCUGAAAUUUUCAACGUGGUGGAAUCUAAAGUUGGUUUCAAAAUAUUAUCUGGGGUGAUUGUGAAGGUGUUUGAUUCUAAAUUUUGGAUAUAUGUUAGAUAUUGAAGUCUAAUUUUUGAGAAAUCAAACGGUUUGUUAUUUGGACUCUCCCGCGACAAAAUAUGAAUCUUUUGUUACAAAUGCAUAAAGCUAAAAAUUAUUCGACUAAGACAAAAGUCGAACAAUGUAAAGCAAAAGAGAAGAUGAAAUAUUUAAGCCCUCGAAGUCUCCAAGUUGAAGUCUCCAAGUCCGUCGGUCUUCAAGUUUCAGUCUUCAAAUUCGUCGGUCUUAAAAUCGAAAUGUUUAAACCUCCAAGUCUUUAAGUUGAAGUCUUCAAGUUGAGGUCCUCAAACUCGUCGGUCUUCAAGUGGAAGUAUUUGAGCCCUCAAAGUUUUCAGAUUGAAACGUCAAAGUCUGCCGAAUCUUCAAGUUUGUCGGUCUUCAGGUUGAAGUUUGCAAAGUCUGGCAAAUCUUCAAAGUUUUCCAAGUGUUCAAGUCGAUGUCAUCAAGUCCAUGAAGUCUUCGAGUUGAAGCUUUAUAACUUUCCAAUCUUAAGAUGGACAUAUAAGUCCUUUGCACCCUAAGUUGGCUUCUUCGUGGGUUUGCCCUUGAGAAUGGUUAUUUUGAGAGUAAUCUCUCUGGUAGUCGAGCUACACUGAAAGUAAUCUCUCUAGUAGUCAGGUCACAUUGAGAGUAAUCUCUUCGAUAGUCGGGUCAUAUCGAGAGUAAUCUCUCCGAUAGUCGAGCCACAUUAAGAGUAAUCUCUCCGGUAGUCAGGCCACAUUGAGAGUAAUCUCUCCGGUAGUCGGGCCACAUUGAGAGUAAUCUCUCCGAUAGUCGGGUCAUUUUGAGAGUAAUCUCUAUGGUAGUCGGGCCACAUUGAGAGUAAUCUCUCCGGUAGUCCGGCCAUGAGAGUAAUCUCUCCGAUAUUCGGGCAGGGAUGAGUACUCAUCCCUUCACACCUUAAAACACCCUUCUUCAUGCGUGGAUAAUCUCGUUGAGCAAGAAGAUAUCCUUCUUAUUUUACCUACCAAAAAAACCAGUAAAGGAAGAAAAGCGCAAGAAAAUAAGAAGAAAUUACCUUCGCGUCAGUGCUACCAAGUCGUCAAAAGUAGACUCAAAAUGGUUGCCAAACGCCGAAAAUGAUGCUAAUAGAAUAAAGAGUAUAUUGUAUUUAUAGAUGUCAAGAGGCGAUGGUUGAAAGUGAAGUGCCGAUGUGGGAGGCAAGUAAUACAAUUGGUCUCCUAGAAAUAUUCGGCUACAUGCGGCUUUUGAGGACAAAUUUCCGAGUCCCUUGGUGUCCAAAGCCGGUAUGGUUGCUGUGUAAUCACAAUUAUAAUUGUCACACCUCCUUUUUUACCUACACCCCGGAAAAGGGGGUAUAUAAGGGAGUUUUUUCCAACUUAAAGUGACAAUCGAAACGGGAUUAUUUAUUUAUUAAGUUCAGAGUCGCCACUUGUGAGAUUUAUUGUGUCCCAAGUCACCGAUUUCAAAUCCCGAAUCGAGGAAAGAUUAACUCUGUGUUACAGUCCGCGAACCAGAAAUCCGAGUAAGGAAUUCUGUUAACCCGGGAGAAGGUGUUUGGCAUUCCCGGGUUCCGUGGUUCUAGCACGGUCGCUCAACUGUUAUAUUCGACUUAAUUAUCUGAUUUUAAACAAUUUUGGACCUAUGUGCAGAUUUUAACUUUUAACCGCUUUUAUUCAAUUUUAAAGAAGAUUGAACGUCGUUCAAAAUACGUCUUUGGAUCGCACCACAUGAAAUGCACCCGCAAUCCUAAACAUAUUUUAUUCAACGUUUUAAGAUUUGAUUUGGGUCACAUGAAAUGCACACCCGAGUUUAGGAAGGUAAUAUUAUUAAAAUACGCGCCUGAAGAAAGCUAUGAUGUUUAUGAUUUAACGGCCUAAGUAUGCUACUAUCGAUUUAAUUAAGUAAAGUGAAAUAAAGGAAUAACAACAAAACUAUCCAAAGUUCAAAUCAUAUUAAUAUUCGGUACUUGCCAUGGUCAAUUUAUCCUAAGAAAUCCAAGUCCCUUUUUUUAAAAUAAAAAAAGAAGAAAGAUUCCACAACCCCACUGCUCGUCAUUCUCACCACACAUAUAAUAAUCAAAAUCAUCACCAAGAAAACAAAAUCAUCAACCACACAUGUAAUAAUCAAAACCCACAUUUAAUUCUAAUUCAAUCAUGAUCUAACACAAUCCAUAUAUAAAAAUAAAGAUCUGAAGCUUAAGAGAAAGAGAAAUGAACCUCUACAUAUCUGAAAUUUGAUUGUUUGAUGGAGAACACGAAAAGGUAGCGGAACGCGGAUGAGAACCGGAAUCGGCACCGGAAAGCUUGCCCAAAACAAAGCUAACAGAGGAUAAACUUAUCGUCCAAAGAAAAUAUCAAACCCAAAAAAAUGAAUAGGAUCAGCGAUUUCCUUCUCCUAAUCCCCUAGUGUAUUUGCUACUGGAACAACACUUCCCUCGAUGUCAACUUCGUUUGCUUCCAUUGCAAAUGCAUAAUAUGCAACUGGAAUUUCAUAGGAUUUAUAGGCAGCACAAUCGAAUAAUCAAAAGUAGUAAUUAAUUAUUUGUGACAUUGCAAAUACGUUUCUCUGGAUAUCGCUUUUCUAGUGUGUUGGAUAGAAAAGACCCUCUCUGUUCUCGUGUGUGUGUGUUUUUUGAGUGGAAAAUCACUGAAUUUUUUGGUAUUUUUCUGUGCCGAUCUGCCGUUCCUCUUUUUUGUCUAGGUCUAGGUCUUGAAAACUUAAGGGUAGAGUUUCUAUAAUUGAGUAUUUUAUAUGCAAGUGGGAAGGGAUGAUGGCCAUUGGAUUAGAAGGAAAUAGAUGGCUAGGAUUAAAUCUUGCACU